Molecule: ribosomal RNA, 497 nt
Filed under: uncultured bacterium
Lineage: Bacteria
Description: partial 16S ribosomal RNA
Rfam family: Bacterial small subunit ribosomal RNA
Source: RNAcentral
GAUGAACGCUGGCGGCAUGCCUAAUACAUGCAAGUCGAGCGAACAGACGAAGCUCUCGCCCGGCUGCCGUUACCGACGGACGAGUAAGUAACACGUGGCUAACCUGCCUAUAAGACUGACGUCACUUCGCGAAACCGAAGCCCAUACCCGAUCUUAUAUUGAACCGCAUGGUUCCAUAGACCAAGACCGUUCUGCUGACACUUAUAGAGAGUUGCGCGUCGGAUUAGCUAGGUGGUGAGGUAACGGCAUACCAAGGCGACGAUGCGUAGCCGACCUGAGAGGGUGAUCGGCCACACUGGAACUGCGACACGGUCCAGACUCCUACGGGAGGCAGCAGUAGGGAAUCUUCCGCAAUGGGCGAAAGCCUGACAGAGCAACGCCGCGUGAGUGAUGAAGGUCUUCGGAUCGUAAAGCUCUUUAAGUAGGGAAGAACAGAUGUGUGAGUAACUAUGCACGUCUUGACGGUACCUAAUCAAAAAGCCACGGCUAACUUCGUG